Molecule: ribosomal RNA, 162 nt
Filed under: uncultured Chlamydiales bacterium
Lineage: Bacteria; Pseudomonadati; Chlamydiota; Chlamydiia; Chlamydiales
Description: partial 16S ribosomal RNA
Rfam family: Bacterial small subunit ribosomal RNA
Source: RNAcentral
AGCUGCAGUCGAGAUCAUUCGCAUGGGCGAAGCCUGACGAUGCGACGCUGUGUGAGUGAAGAAGGCCUUCGGGUUGUAAAGCUCUUUCGCCUGGGAACAAGGAAUGCUAACUAAUAAUUAGCGGACUUGAGCGUACCAGGUAAAGAAGCACCGGCUAACUCC